UCGACGUUGAUGGCGGCGCCAGCGUUACAUAAGCCGAAUUCGGAGCCGAGUCGAAGACUCGGUUGAAGCUUGCAAGAAAGCCCCUGGCAGCGCCUCGUUCUGGCCAAGGUAUAAUCUAAUACAGGGUAACGAUGGCAGAUAGAAUCCGAGAGAGUAUGCGCCAAUAAUAUUGGCAGAUCGGGAUUGCCAAAGUAAAAUUCGUUGACAACUUUUACGAGACCUGUGACGCGGGCAAUCGGCAACCCGUCCUCAACUCGAGUCCGAAACUAGGCUAGUAGUGUAAGCUCUGCUCUGGACUGGAUUGGCCUGGACUGGACUGGGCCACUUAACGUUAGUGUGAGUCAAUGGCUGACUAAUGCGAAAUGCACCCAGAAGGCAAACCAUGGCCCAUCAUGGCUCCUGGCCAGCGGCGACUCGAAGGCCAAC
Molecule: small RNA, 426 nt
Filed under: Drosophila pseudoobscura pseudoobscura
Lineage: Eukaryota; Metazoa; Arthropoda; Insecta; Diptera; Drosophilidae
Description: GA32060
Source: RNAcentral